Molecule: long non-coding RNA, 308 nt
Filed under: Trifolium pratense (red clover)
Lineage: Eukaryota; Viridiplantae; Streptophyta; Magnoliopsida; Fabales; Fabaceae
Description: long non-coding RNA (TPRA_LNC011646)
Source: RNAcentral
AAAAAUUGAAAGAGUUUAAAAGAAGUAGAUCAUAUUACCUGGAACAGCAAGGAGAAACCCAGAACCAGGAAAAAAUUGCAAGUUGGUGAUGAACAAACAAUUUAGUAGAAUAUAAAGCAAUUGUUUCAACGUGGAAAUUGUUUUGGAGGGAAGAUUGAGCGGGUAAAUCAAAGGGUAAAAAUGGGUUUUCAUAGUAGAACAUGGGUUCAUGGUUCCUGGGAACAAAAUUUUCCAGCCCUCAUCUCAUGGGAAUAAAUUGGAGAAGAACGUGGUGAGAAAGUGGGUAGUUUGAGGUUCCUGGGUACUUU